GCAGGCGGGGCGGGGGUUCUUCGCUGCAGCUCCACCCCCGCCGCCCCCCAGGAUCACAAAAGCAUAGCCAGGUUGCCCGUGGUGGCAAAGUGUGAGGUGACAAGGAAUCGAGGCCAGCAGCCACAGCACGCGUCAGCUCUCAGGUGCGCGUCGUAAAAGACUUGGGCUGCGAGAACUACAAAUCAUCCGGAAUCAACCAUGGCCAAUUUGAAUUUUUCUCCCUUAGCUCAGAACCCUGUUGGGAAAGAGAUAGUUGAAACUAACAGGGAGAUUGCCUGCCUAAAACACAGUUCCAAAACAGAAUCUUAGCCUUAAGAUGUCCUAGACUCCAACUAAUGCACGGACAGAUGAAUCCACUAUAUUGUUAAGUCUGAGUCUGAGAGCCAUAAUGUGGGAGGACAUGACACAGCAAAUGGAGAACUGGCAGCAUUUCUUCUUAGGAAUCACAUCUAUGAGUGGAGCCGGAGCAGCAUUCAUCAAACCUUCCCUUCACAGCACUGCAUACAGCUCUGCAAAUUCCCCUCAUGCCUCUCAGCCACAGAAUGUCCUCUUGUGCAUGUGGCUCUGAGGGGAAGGACCCAGAGCAGGUGCAGCCUUCCCGGGACUGGUGGCCCAAGGCUGCCGCUGAGGGCAGCGUGGACUUCUCUACCCUUGGUGGAAAGGUUGCUGAGCUGUUACAACUCAGAUGUCACUGCUGGUGCACAGCUGGUGUUUUCACCCACACUUGACAGCAGCUUCUGGGGAGAGUGGAGAAGGAAAUCUGCAGGAUGCAGAUGGAGGCAAAUCUGGGAAGGGGGAGAGCGUUUCAUUCCUUCAGCUCAGGAAGGACGGGAUGACCAAUUUCUCCUACACACUGUCCUAUUCCUUCACCUGUAAGUAAGGAGUUGGAAGUGGGGCACCGGUGGGAAUGGCACCAGUGGGGGUUGGGGUAGGGAUGAGGGCAUGGCACUGGCAGGGAGUGGCAGGGGGAGGGAGAAUUGGAGGACAGGGCACCAGCAGGGAGGGGCACCCGCAGGGGCAGGGCCUCUGGCUGGGUGCAGUGUUGAGGACAAGAGCUCAGUCUGUCCCCCAGCCUCUUGUUUGAGCUCCACCUCCCUCACCCAACUCCUACCUGUACCUCUGGAUCAUAAUGGUGGCCCACUUCCCAUCCCCUGCAGCCCUAUUCUUUCAAUCACUGCCCCUAACUCACUCCUUAUCCUAAAGACAGCUCCUCUCUGGAAACUUCCGGACAUUCUGAUUCCUUGUCCAUCCCAACCCAGCUCCCCAACCCUCAUGUACACUUUCUGGGUUGCCACUCACCUCCAAUUCCCAGUUUCUAACUGGAGAGAUUAUUUUUUUACAUCUUUUUUCCAGAGAUGUUUUAAAAUAAGGGAACAAGCUACAAUUAGUAGAUUCUCUUUAUCAUUUCCUUGUAUUAGUAACAAUUGUAGAAUAAAGUUUUAAAAGUCAUUAGAAUAGACAGAAUAGAGUGACUACAUCCCUAAGAAAAUGUGAAGCCCUUUCCCACUCUAAGCUGUAGAGGUCAGACUUGACUGCAAGACUUGAUUUGUGCUCUUGGUCCUCAUAAGGCAUCCACCCCUCCCCCCAUGACCUUCCCAACCUCAUUCCACCCUCCCCACAACUCUGUGGACACCAGAAGUCCUUCAGGGCCCUGGUCACACCAGAGUGAAGUUUCUUGUGGCCUGAGUAUGUCCUCUCAGCUUCCUCCAAGUCUCUUUGAGAAACACAGCCUUUUGGGAUUUGUGUGUGUGCCCAAAUAUUUAAUGUUCCUACUGGAUAGUCUUUAUUAUUUUCUCUAGAUGUAAAUGACACAGAUUUAACUCCUGUGCCAGAAUCUUCUGUGGCUUCAAGAAAAGACAACUCAUAUGUUCAUCUCAGCACAAACUUUGAGCUCCAGAUUGUUUUUGUGAAAAAUCAGAGCAUUUUAGUCUUUUGGAUUAACCUGUUUCUAACAUCCCAUUUGUCUUGCUCAGCUCUAGCUGCAAUAACAAAACACCAUAGACUGGCUAACUGCAACAACAGACAUUUAUUUCUCACAGUUCUGGGGGCUAGGAAAUCCAAGAACAAGGUGCUGGCAGAUUCAAUGUCCAGUGAGAACGUUCUUCCUGGCUUACUGAUGGCCACCUUCUCCUCUGUCCUCACAUGGCCCUUCCUUCAUGUGUGCAUUCCCAGAAAGAGGAAGCACCCUCAAGGUCUCUCAUCAUCAUCUAAUAUGGACACUAAAUCAUGGGGGCUCUUCCCCCAUGACCUAAUCUAAACUUAAUUGCCACCCAAAGGCCCCACCUCCAAAUACCAUCACAUUGGGGAUUAGGGCUUCAACACAUGAAUUUGGGGGGGACUCAUAACAAUGUUAUUUUUCUUUCUUCAGUGAUAAUGAUUCUAGAGAGUAUCCAAUAAGGAUUAAACUUAGAAUCAAAAUGACACAGACUUCACUCUUAUAUGAGAUUCUUUGUAGGCUUCAAGAAAAGAUAGUUCAAACAUUCAUCUGUCACUGUUUCCAAAUUUGAAUAAAUGUUUACAUGCAAACGUGGAACUGGACAUUUUGAAACAUAUAAUAAGGCAAGAAAAAUCUUGCAUGUGUUUUAUGUAUACAAUUUGAUGAGUUUGGACAUAUGUAUACACCCAUGAUACUAUCACCACAAACAAGGUAAUAAACAGAUCCAUC
This is a long non-coding RNA of Manis javanica (Malayan pangolin), 2665 nucleotides long. RefSeq lists it as uncharacterized. Lineage: Eukaryota; Metazoa; Chordata; Mammalia; Pholidota; Manidae. The record is from RefSeq and is a predicted model, not a curated record.